GUGUUCCUUCCUAUAUCUACGCAUUUCACCGCUACACAGGAAAUUCCACCACCCUCUACCGUACUCUAGCUUGCCAGUUUUGGAUGCAGUUCCCAGGUUGAGCCCGGGGCUUUCACAUCCAACUUAACAAACCACCUACGCGCGCUUUACGCCCAGUAAUUCCGAUUAACGCUUGCACCCUCUGUAUUACCGCGGCUGCUGGCACAGAGUUAGCCGGUGCUUAUUCUGUCGGUAACGUCAAAACAGCAAGGUAUUAACUUACUGCCCUUCCUCCCAACUUAAAGUGCUUUACAAUCCGAAGACCUUCUUCACACACGCGGCAUGGCUGGAUCAGGCUUUCGCCCAUUGUCCAAUAUUCCCCACUGCUGCCUCCCGUAGGAGUCUGGACCGUGUCUCAGUUCCAGUGUGACUGAUCAUCCUCUCAGACCAGUUACGGAUCGUCGCCUUGGUGAGCCAUUACCCCACCAACUAGCUAAUCCGACCUAGGCUCAUCUGAUAGCGCAAGGCCCGAAGGUCCCCUGCUUUCUCCCGUAGGACGUAUGCGGUAUUAGCGUUCCUUUCGAAACGUUGUCCCCCACUACCAGGCAGAUUCCUAGGCAUUACUCACCCGUCCGCCGCUGAAUCAAGGAGCAAGCUCCCGUCAUCCGCUCGACUUGCAUGUGUUAGGCCUGCCGCCAGCGUUCAAU
RNAcentral lists this ribosomal RNA (686 nucleotides) under Pseudomonas sp. RNAcentral's name for it is "partial 16S rRNA". Lineage: Bacteria; Pseudomonadati; Pseudomonadota; Gammaproteobacteria; Pseudomonadales; Pseudomonadaceae. The record is from RNAcentral.